ACUCAGAACAGUCAUGCUGCUCUUCUUCUCUGUUUUCAUGGUUAUUUCCAGUUUUGGUGAAAGUGUUGACCCUAUCAGACCAAAUGAAACCACCAUCUCUUCCAGUGAAGGCAGCAGAACCACACUGUCCUGCACAUAUGAUGGUUCACCUUAUAGACUCCACUGGUAUCAACAAAGGCCUGCAUCAAAACCAGAGUUCCUGGUGCUGAUUUUUGUGUCCAAUAAACUGGUCACUAAAGCUGAAACUCUUGAUCCAAGACUGUCCAUCACACUUCAAAAAGAGAGUAAUAAAGUAGAUCUGGAGAUCUCCUCUGCUGCAGUAUCAGACUCUGCACUCUACUACUGUGCUUUGGAG
Molecule: non-coding RNA, 355 nt
Organism: Pygocentrus nattereri (red-bellied piranha)
Lineage: Eukaryota; Metazoa; Chordata; Actinopteri; Characiformes; Serrasalmidae
Source: the annotation of a RefSeq genome assembly